This is a long non-coding RNA of Alosa sapidissima (American shad), 102 nucleotides long. RefSeq lists it as uncharacterized. The record is from RefSeq and is a predicted model, not a curated record. NCBI's taxonomy places the organism in Eukaryota, Metazoa, Chordata, Actinopteri, Clupeiformes, Clupeidae. The transcript is spliced from 4 exons.
AUUUUCAAGUUACAAAUGUGAUUUUUUCAAUUGUGGAUGUCAAAACACGAAUGCAAGUCAAGAAAUAUUUGUGGAUGUCCCCAUCUACUGGAUUGCGAUUUC